Molecule: ribosomal RNA, 519 nt
Filed under: uncultured Glomeraceae
Lineage: Eukaryota; Fungi; Glomeromycota; Glomeromycetes; Glomerales; Glomeraceae
Description: SSU rRNA
Rfam family: Eukaryotic small subunit ribosomal RNA
Source: RNAcentral
AGCAGCCGCGGUAAUUCCAGCUCCAAUAGCGUAUAUUAAAGUUGCUGCAGUUAAAAAGCUCGUAGUUGAAUUUCGGGACCAAUAUGUCGGUCGUGCUUCGGUACGUACUGUCAUAAUUGGUUUCUCCCUUCUGAAGAACCUUGAUGUCAUUAAUUUGGUGUCUUGGGGAAUCAGGACUGUUACUUUGAAAAAAUUAGAGUGUUUAAAGCAGGCUCGCGCUUGAAUACAUUAGCAUGGAAUAAUGAAAUAGGACGUUUGAUUCUAUUUUGUUGGUUUCUAGGAUCGACGUAAUGAUUAAUAGGGAUAGUUGGGGGCAUUAGUAUUCAAUUGUCAGAGGUGAAAUUCUUAGAUUUAUUGAAGACUAACUACUGCGAAAGCAUUUGCCAAGGAUGUUUUCAUUAAUCAAGAACGAAAGUUAGGGAUCGAAGACGAUCAGAUACCGUCGUAGUCUUAACCAUAAACUAUGCCGACUAGGGAUCGGAUGAUGUUAAUUUUUAAUGACUCAUUCGGCGCCUUAAC